AAGAAAAAUAACCAGUAAUCACAUCGCCCAGAAAUAACCCCAGUUACAAUUGUGGCAAAUACACAUACUUAUAAAUAUUGCAGAUAUAUUAAGUAUACCUAGUAUUUGCUAACACUCUUUCUUCUACUCUGUCAUGAAGAUUCUCCCAAGGUGUUUUUGUAUAAUAUUUAAUUCAUUUUCAGUGGCCAAGCAGUAUUCUACUUCAUGGAUAUACCAGGAUUUAUUUAACCAUAACUUCUGGUUGGAUUCACUCUUAUUAUUUUGUUUAAUUAAAAAAAAAAGACCUCGGCUGGGCACAGUGGCUCAUGCCUUUGAGACCAGCCUGGCCAACAUGGCAAAACCCCGUCUCUACUAAAAAUACAGAAAAUUAGCCGGGUGUGGUUGCCAGCACCUGUAAUUCCAGCUAAUUGGGAGGCUGAGGCAGGAGAAUUGCUUGAACCACAACAACAACAACAACAAAAAUCUCACUGGACAUCCUAGUAGCUAAGGCUUUCCACAUAUUCAUGAUUACUUCUGUUGGAAAGUGCUUUACAACAAAUUGCUAGUUGUCUCAGUCUGGGUUCCCCUGAGAUGAGGAUUCAAGGGCCAGGAGUUUAUU
RNAcentral lists this long non-coding RNA (598 nucleotides) under Homo sapiens (human). Its description in RNAcentral is "non-protein coding lnc-UGT1A8-1:1". Lineage: Eukaryota; Metazoa; Chordata; Mammalia; Primates; Hominidae. The record is from RNAcentral.